Molecule: transfer RNA, 77 nt
Filed under: Thermoplasmata archaeon M11B2D
Lineage: Archaea; Methanobacteriati; Thermoplasmatota; Thermoplasmata
Also listed under: 1 other name
Description: tRNA-Asn
Rfam family: tRNA
About the family: Transfer RNA (tRNA) molecules are approximately 80 nucleotides in length. Their secondary structure includes four short double-helical elements and three loops (D, anti-codon, and T loops). Further hydrogen bonds mediate the characteristic L-shaped molecular structure. tRNAs have two regions of fundamental functional importance: the anti-codon, which is responsible for specific mRNA codon recognition, and the 3' end, to which the tRNAs corresponding amino acid is attached (by aminoacyl-tRNA synthetases). tRNAs cope with the degeneracy of the genetic code in two manners: having more than one tRNA (with a specific anti-codon) for a particular amino acid; and 'wobble' base-pairing, i.e. permitting non-standard base-pairing at the 3rd anti-codon position.
Source: RNAcentral
UGGCGCGUAGCACAGUAGGUAGUUGCGGGUGACUGUUAAUCACCAUGUCGCUGGUUCGACCCCAGCCGCGCCAGCCA